AAAUAAAGCUAGAUAUAUUCAAAGUUUCAAAAUAUAACAUAUCGAAAAGAAAAUUGAAUAUUUGUUAAUCUAAUUAUUCAGUUAUUUUUAUUUGAUAUUAUUAUUGGAUGAGAUAUAAUAUGGUGUUAAUGUAACUACAUUUUAACUUAUUUUUUUAUUAGUAAAGAGUAAUGCCACAUUUAUAAGUUUAUUUUCUAAUUAAACAAAUAUUUGAUUUAUUAUUUUUUUGAAUUCAUAAUUUUUUUUGCGGAUUUACAGAAAUAAAUUCAUAUCCAAUCCAUUAAUUCACAAUCAAAUUUUUGUGGAGCGAUUAUGGAUCGAAUUUUUACAAAUCAAAUAGAUUGAGCAUAUCAUAAUAGAUUCUGAUAUUGGCACUCUCUAAAUGCCUCUUAAAACUCUACUAUAGCACUCUUUAAGUAAUUAAGAUAAAUAAUUCAUCUUCUUCCCUAACAAAAUCCCUCAUUUUCUUGUAUCAGCGUGCAGUACCAAGGUAUGAUUUUUUAGCAAUCAAGAACUAAGUAUUAGACUGAGUGCCCGUUUGGUAUGGCUUAUUUAAGAGCGAUAAGGGCUUAUUUAAUCGUAUAAGCACUUUUUAAAAAUUUUUAUAGUGUUUGGUUAUUUUUUUAGUAGAGUUCUUUUAGCUUAAAUAAGCUAAUUUACCUCUACUAGCAAAAGCCCAAAAUUUGAGCUUUUGGGAGUAGAGGUUAUAAAGCUUUUUUAAAAAUAUAUAAUAUAAAAAAUAUCACACAGUUUAAUGGUUCAAAAGUGCAUUUUUUAUUGACAACCAAACACCCAAUGACUUUUUGUCCAAAAGCUCUAUUAGUAUAAGCUCUACUGUUAUAAGCUCUAUUUAAUAAGCUGUACCAAACGGAGCAUGAGUAAAGUUGCUAGUUUUAUCAUGAGUUAUCAUUUAUCAGAUGUUCUUGGCUCUUGCAAAAAACGUAGCCAAUAAAGAGAUGGUUGUUGUCUUUUAAGGAGUUUUGCCUAUAACUCCAUUCUCGAAUAAGCCGAUCAAAACUUCAAGCUAUUAUAAGCCGUAUUGGGCCUUUAAUUCAGGGAAAUUGUGGCCUUUAAUUUAGGGAAACUCUCUCCCAAUCAUAUAAAAAAAUGUAACUCCUAUGAGUUUUUAAUAAUAUCUCAUAAUCACUGUAAGUUUUAGUUUCAUAUCAAUCAAUUAUUUUUCCAUUAACUCUAUUAAUUACCAUAAUAAAAAUUCUAAGUAAAAGACUGUUUGUCAAUAGAUUCAUUUAAGCAAAUAAGGAGGAUCUAAGAGUUAAAUAGUCUUUUAUCUUAAAUUAUUUGAUGAUGGGUAACUAAAUUAUAGAAAAGUAAUUGAUUGAUAUGAAACUAAAACUCGAGAUAAUUCUAGGAUAUUAUCACAGUCAUUAUGACUUUUUAUUCUUUUAAUAUUCUUGAGGUGGUUGAGAAAUAAUUUUCAUUUAAUUUAUAGGCUUGGUCCUUUAAUAUUUGGCCCUCACACUACUUGUUUGUUUUCUAAAAUAUUCGUAUAUAUAAUCUUAUUUUUAUUUCGAUGCUUGUAUAAAAUUACUCCAUAAUUACUAGAAUACUUCCCACACAGGCAUAAUAAAGUUUAAUCUCAUAAAUAGUUUUCUAUUUCUAUCCCCCAUGGAGAACUACAUCAUUGUCUAAGUGUACGUUUGAUUAUCCAAAAUAUACUGAGGUUGAUUUUAUUAUCAAAAGCGUAGAUGAAAUACUCACUCGUGAAAUCUUAGAUAACCAUUUUUUUUUUUCUGUUUUGGGGAAAAAAUAAAAAGUUACCAUGAUAUUAAGGGGUGCCUUCGAGUUCUGGAAGUUAGAAUGAAAUAUUUACAAAUUUUAAGUGUUUUAACUUUUCAAUUCACAUAGUGUAUGUUGCAAAUUGCAUAUACUCAUAUGAAAAAUAAGCUUUCAUGAAUGCAUGGUAGGAAAGCCUCUGGUUAAACGCAGGAUAAACAUGCCCAAUUCAGCAUCGAAGCAAGAAAAUUAUUAAUCACAUUAGUUAUUAAUUUGUCUUACUAAACCGUAAACUGCAAAUAUUGUUGGGGCAAAAGUUUUACGUUUUGGUUUACUAUUUAUCAUCGAAAUUAAUUUAUCUCUUUAAUAAGUAAGCCAAAUUCAUUGUGUGUUACUCACUUUGUAUUAGGCCAACAAGUAUUCGUGAUGAGUUGUUUUAGAUUAUUUGUAAAAUGCAACUACUACUUUUUACCAAACUGAGAAGUUUGUUGUGAUUCUUUUUUACAAAUGCAAGAACUUUCACAGUAUUUAUCUAGUUAUUUUGAGCAUUGUAUUAUGUACUGAAUUAUUUCGCAUUAUAAAACAAAAAAGAAGAUAAGAGGGGUGGGGUUUGUUAUUUUACAUGAUGAUAUAAGAAACAUGACUCUUCCACAGUUCGUUUGAUAAAAAUCCAACGGUCGUGGGAAUAUAAGAUAAUAAAAUUAUAUUAUUUCCACAACCCUUGGGUUUUCAUCAGAUGGUUGUGGAAGAGUCAUGUUUCUUAUAUUAUCAUGUAAGAUAACUAGAGCCUAACAGAGGAGAAAUAAAAAAGAACAUCCGUACGCACAUGCAGUAUGGUGGACUUAAUAUAUAGCUGCUUAAUUAAGAGAUAGUUCAGCAGAUAAAUCAUUUAGUAAAUGGCCCUAACAAACUUUACCAAAUCUAAUUGGAAUAUCAAAUUAAUGAGAUGUUAUACGUUGCAACCUUAAUGAAAAACUGAUGAACGCAAGCAUAAGAAAAUAAGAGUACAUUUGUGGCAUACUUUCACUACCAGAAAAAAAUAGACAACAAUAAUUUAGUACCUUGGAUGCUAUGUGUGUUUAAAAAUAUAGUAUUUAACAACAUUCAAAUCUCAUACGUUGUUAACACCCACUGAACAAAUAAGCAAGUAUAAACAAUAAAACAGAACAAAAUUUGACGGUUGCAAUUACACGUAAUAAUCUUUUUGUUAAAAGAAUGAAAAUAAAAAUAAAACAAUGGCACCAAUAAAUUGUAGAUUUGAGGUCCAGCUGCAUGCUUUACGAGUAACACAGUAACACACUAUAUCCUCUUUAGUUUUUUUUUAUUUUUUAAUUUCUACCUACCUUAGAAUUGAGAAAUAUCCUAUAGAUUAUAGAUAGCCACGUCAUAUUAUUGGGAAAAUGAUAUGGCGAAAACAGUUAUUAUGACUAUUUUUCAUGUUGAAUUUUAAUCCAGAAACCAGAAGUAUUUAUAUUAAAAAAAAAAACUCAGAGGUAUUUUUUUUGGGCUUCUACUUGACAACUAAAGGUUGAAAGAAGCCGAUCAAAACUUCAAAGCUGUUAUAGGCCGUAUUGGGCAUGUAAUUUAUCGGCCGGCCGACUUAGUCCUCAGAAGUUUCGGGAAAAAGGAUGCAAUGCCGUCUUUCUUCAAUGCACACACUCCCUCUUAUAACAUUAAUCCUGUUAUCUUGAGCAUUGUAUUAAGAAAUACGGACAAGUUUGCAUUUUUGAAAAAUAAUAAUAAUAAUAAACUUCCGUCAUGUUUGGAAUUUAGAUGCUGUAACUU
Molecule: long non-coding RNA, 3519 nt
Filed under: Citrus x clementina
Lineage: Eukaryota; Viridiplantae; Streptophyta; Magnoliopsida; Sapindales; Rutaceae
Description: Citrus clementina (C. clementina) long non-coding RNA (CCLE_LNC003632)
Source: RNAcentral